RNAcentral lists this long non-coding RNA (1772 nucleotides) under Macaca fascicularis (crab-eating macaque). RNAcentral's name for it is "lncRNA (ENSMFAG00000054790.1)". Lineage: Eukaryota; Metazoa; Chordata; Mammalia; Primates; Cercopithecidae. The record is from RNAcentral.
GGGCCCCGUGGUGUGGAUUUGCGGUGACACAGCCUUUCCCCAGUUCGGCCUUCAUCUCCAGAGUUGGCUUUAGGGUGAUAGAAGCUUCACCUGAACCCUGAAGCUUUGGUGCUAGGAAUUCGGUGACCGGCACAGAUGAUACCUCGUUUCUCUGCAUUUGUAGCAAUAGUUGUUAACAUGACCACGAGAUGUACAGAGGAAGGAAAAAGGAGGUUUUCUUUUCCGAGUAACACUCUGUGCUUUGGGAAAUGUGGUCUCGGGGGAGCUGUAAGCACGUGCCCCUCAGGAGGGGAGGAGGCCAGCGGCGUUACUGCGUUCGGGGUUUGUUGGCUGUGUGUGUUCAUCGGGCUCAUGGAAUGUCGGAAUGUUUACAGGGAAAGUGGGGUUUGUUCAUCUGGUUCGUGCAAUGUCUGAACACUUAUAGGGAAAGUCUAGCACACAUGCAGUGAGUUAACCUGUAACAUCCAUGUUCACCUUGGGGCAAGUGUAACAUUUGAAAUGAGGUGGACUGGACAUGUCAUGUACAAAGGUGAGCUGUUGGGCGCAGACGUUUAUGCGCAGCCUCAGUCACAGCCAGGACUGGCUCAGGGUCUGCAGCUUGUGGCAGGAAGGGACAUUCACGAGGCCAUUCUGUCCAGUUGGGGCUGCCGGCAGGGUCCCAGGGUGGGGCUUCUGAUUAUGGAGGAGACUUCAUGCUGGUUAACAGACUGUAUAGGAGUAGUGCCGUGGAGCUUUGGGGUCCACCUUCCCUAUGAUGCCAGUUACAUUUCUCUCCGGACCUCAUCGUAGCCACAGAGAGUGCACCUCGUCUGAAAGCAGGGGGUGCCAUGUUGAUACAGUAAUUUAUUGUAUUAACCUUUUUAUUACUAUUUUAAUAACUUUUUUUUCUUUUGAAAGAGAUAGAGUGUUGCUGUGUUACUCAAGCUAGUCUUGAACUCGUGGCCUCAAGCAAUCCUCCCACCUCGGCCUCCCAAAGUGCUGGGCUUAUAUAUAUGAGGCAGUGCACCCAGCCUACAGCCAUGUUUUUAAAACUCAGCACUUUAAAAAUCCUACUCCUUUCACCCCCUCAAGCACGCUGGUUAGCCUUGUGCAAACUGGGGUGUCAAGAUCUUGGCCCCCCUUUUAUUUUACCCUUCGACCUCAAGUUCUGAUGAGAACAGCAGUUACAAAAUGGGCUUUAGGUGAUUCUUCCGUUACUAAAGCCAGAAUUCUCACCAGUUAGAGAUGUUUGUCCCCAGGAUCCCAGAAAGCUGUUUUGAAUCAAGCUCGGAGCAAGUAAGUAAGGAACUAAACUCUUGGUCCUCUGCUUAGCACCUGGGGAAUGGGUUAGUUGCUGAUACCCUUUGAUCUGUGCUCACAUGCUGCAUCUCAUCACGGGAAGCAGAGUCGCCCUGUGGAAUAAAGCCCAGCUCACGGUGGCACGUCGAGACGCUCAGGGCUGUCAGUCCCUUAUACAGCGGCAGACUUGGAGACUCAGCAUCGCGUGCAGAGCCCGGGCAACCGGAGUGCAUCCACCUUAGAGACCACAGGGCCGGUCGGCAAGGUGGAUGUCCGGGCAUAUGGCCCUGACAGGCCCGCUGCAAGGUGAAUUAGGAAUUCGUUAGCAAAGAAAUCAAACUCGCCUGUGGGUCCCAGCUACUUGGAAGGCUGAGGCGGGAGGAUUGCUUGAGCCAGAAGGUCAAGGCCGCGAUAAGCCAUGAUUGUAAUACUGCACUCUGGCCUGGGUGACACAGGAGACUCCGACUCAAAAAAAAAAAAAAAAAAAAAAAAAA